GACAGAGGUGCCGAGCGUUAGGCGGAAUCACUGGGCUUAAAGCGUGUGUAGGCGGGCCGUUAAGUGCCUUGUGAAAUCCCCCGGCUCAACCGGGGAACGGCUGGGCAGACUGGCGGCCUUGGGCCAACUAGGGGUCAUCGGAACAAGCGGUGGAGCGGUGAAAUGCGUAGAUAUCGCUUGGAACGCCCGCGGCGAAAGCGGAUGACUGGGGUUGUGCCGACGCUGAGACACGAAAGCCAGGGGAGCGAACGGG
This 253-nucleotide ribosomal RNA is filed under the name uncultured bacterium. Its description in RNAcentral is "partial 16S ribosomal RNA". It matches the Rfam family "Bacterial small subunit ribosomal RNA", at positions 524 to 776 of the family's 1533-position model. The record is from RNAcentral.